Molecule: small RNA, 793 nt
Filed under: Pan troglodytes (chimpanzee)
Lineage: Eukaryota; Metazoa; Chordata; Mammalia; Primates; Hominidae
Description: processed transcript
Source: RNAcentral
UCCUGAUCCUGGGCGUGCGGGAGCAGAGAGAACCCUAUGAAGCCCAGCAGGCUGAGCCGAUCGCCUACUUCCGGGGCCUACGGCUGGUCAUGAGCCACGGCCCAUACAUCAAACUUAUUACCGGCUUCCUCUUCACCUCCUUGGCUUUCAUGCUGGUGGAGGGGAACUUUGUCUUGUUUUGCACCUACACCUUGGGCUUCCGCAAUGAAUUCCAGAAUCUACUCCUGGCCAUCAUGCUCUCGGCCACUUUAACCAUUCCCAUCUGGCAGUGGUUCUUGACCCGGUUUGGCAAGAAGACAGCUGUAUAUGUUGGGAUCUCAGUGAGUGGGGUUGAAGAGCAGAGCCUGGGUUGAGUUGGGAUGUCUGGUGGGAACCUCCCAGCUGACUCAUCUUCCUGCACCCCCUUCCCUAGUCAGCAGUGCCAUUUCUCAUCUUGGUGGCCCUCAUGGAGAGUAACCUCAUCAUUACAUAUGCGGUAGCUGUGGCAGCUGGCAUCAGUGUGGCAGCUGCCUUCUUACUACCCUGGUCCAUGCUGCCUGAUGUCAUUGACGACUUCCAUCUGAAGCAGCCCCACUUCCAUGGAACCGAGCCCAUCUUCUUCUCCUUCUAUGUCUUCUUCACCAAGUUUGCCUCUGGAGUGUCACUGGGCAUUUCUACCCUCAGUCUGGACUUUGCAGGGUACCAGACCCGUGGCUGCUCGCAGCCGGAACGUGUCAAGUUUACACUGAACAUGCUCGUGACCAUGGCUCCCAUAGUUCUCAUCCUGCUGGGCCUGCUGCUCUUCAAAAUGUAC